UAGAAAGCCUGCAGCUCCAAGAGACUUGUUGUCAAAACUGGAUGGUCAUGGCACUUAAACUAUUGGGAAUCCAGGAUGCUACUGCACCACUUAAAAAUGGAAACUCAUGUCUGUAGAAACCCUUGAUAUGUGAAGCUGACUGUGGUUGGGGUUCUUUCCUGGUUGGUUAAGGGCACCACUUUCAGAUAAAACAUAGACCUGAAUGGCAUCAUCCAGUAUCCAAGGAAACCAUGUGCCACCAGAAACCUCUUCCUCCUGGCCGUUGCCUGACUGACUCCUCAUCACUCUUCAGCUGCAUCUAGACUCUCCUGCCAUCUGAGGGACCCUUCUCAGUUGCUCUUAUAGCCCCAGAAGUGUCUAAUAUUUCCAGUGUUCAUGACCAAUGCUACUUGCUUUUUCAUCACCUUGUUCAAUUUCCUUUCAUAAAAGAAUCUAGUCAGGCUGGAGAGAUGGCUCAGCAGUGAAAAAGAGUGCUUCCCACAUUUCUAGAGGCCCUGUGUUCAAUUCCUAGCAUCCACAUCUGGUGGCUCCCAACUAACUGCCUGUAACUCCAGCUCUAGGGAAUCUGACACCCUCUUCUGGCUUCUUUGGACUCCUGCAUCCACGUGCACAGGCACAUAUGUACCCACAGAAAUGAAAAUAAAUCUUAAGAAAAAGAGCAG
This 662-nucleotide long non-coding RNA is filed under the name Cricetulus griseus (Chinese hamster). RNAcentral's name for it is "lncRNA (ENSCGRG00015039424.1)". Lineage: Eukaryota; Metazoa; Chordata; Mammalia; Rodentia; Cricetidae. The record is from RNAcentral.